Molecule: RNA transcript, 6967 nt
Organism: Mercenaria mercenaria
Lineage: Eukaryota; Metazoa; Mollusca; Bivalvia; Venerida; Veneridae
Exons: 7
Source: RefSeq, a predicted model, not a curated record
GUUAUUUAUAGAACAGCGUUUUCUUUUUCCUAAACAAUGUAUCUUGAUUGCAAUUCCUUUUUGACCUGCGAAAGUUGUUUGAGGUGGUCAAUCACAUUUGGACAACAUUGUAUGACAUUUUUCAUAUUUAGUAUAUGUUCAGUGAGAUAUUUAUCUAACCUUUACCCUGCUAAAUUUCUGAAAUGGACCGGUCCAUCAUUCAAUUUGGACAAUGCCACUUAUUAUUCAAGGGGUGUUCACCACUGAAAACUUACUGACUUAAUACCGAACAGUGCAGAUCAUGAUCAGUGCAGGCUGAUCUUGGUCUGCAAUGGUCGCAAAGGCAAAAUCACUUGAGGCCAGCAGGCUAAAGAUAAAACAACCAAAAGACCCUAUUUAACAGAGUUAGGUUCCUAUCAGAAAUGUAUAUUUUAUUAUUUUUAUGAAAUUUUGUAAUUACUGCCCUUUAACUAACAUGAAAGUUUUCAAAAAGUGUAGUACUGACAAUUUCUAAAUUCGCAUUUGCAUUUGAUAGCUACCAAAAGACAAGUUGUAAAACAUUGUGUAGUUGUAGAAUUCAUUUAUUUCCUGGUUUCUAUCCUGGUUGCGCAACAAAUAUAGGUAAACGGAGGUAAUAUUCAUUUUACAAAGUUGCAUUUCUAAUUAAUGUCGGCUAUUAUAUAGUAAUAAUAUAUGUACAUAUCUGACAAUAAAUUACAAUAGUUCUUAUAUUCAUUUAAUUUCAUGGGCAGGUUUGUGUAUUAAAUUUAUACAUAUGCUUAAAUAACUCUAUCUAUUGUUGGGCAACUCAGAUAGAAAAUUCAAAUGCAGUGAAAUUCUAGCAUGUAAUUAGCCUUCAGUGAACACAAAUAAGUGUAUUAAAUCGAUCAUUUGUUAAACUUUCGACCAAAUUCAUUACUAGGUCAAAAUCUGAUUAACCACCUUUAAUUAAGGAGGGCUUACUUCUUUUGUGACUAUGUAACAAGGCGACGCAAGAAUAUUUAACUUAUGGGUAUAUUACUUCUUGUGUUAGGAUGUUUCUGCAAGUAAUGCAAUACUGAUUUUUUUUUCACUCUGAAUGGUACAAAUCAACGCAAAAUGCGUUAUUUCUUUACACAAGUCUUAAAUUAUUUUUUUUUUCUAGAUUAUUCCCAUUCCUUUCAGUUGUCAUUAAAGUUGUUUACGGGUUCUUUGCAAUAUUUAUUGGUCUCAGAUGUCGUUACAAUGUUAGUGGUGACAAUUCGUUUUUAUUAUAUUUGUUUUUAAGAAUAGUGAUUUUGUCGUUGAUUCAGAAUCAAAUCAAUGUGUCGAGUUCAGCUUCGAAGGAAAGAUAUCACGAAGGCGCAAACCGAGUGAUAUAAUAUUUAAAAAAAAAAUAUCUAAAUUUUUUCGUCUAUUAAGUAAAGAAAGGAAGUCAAGUGUUGUAUAUUCUGAGCGGCUGACGCGCGGACCGGUAUGAGAACAUUAUGAUGUCAAUAAUUACAUCAAAUAGCCACAUGGAGGCCUUUUCGUUACUAUAAUGUAUGUACUUAAGCAGCAUGCAGUGAUAUUUUUGCAUAAUAUUUCUUAAGAAUGCUUUAAAACUUAAUUACUGACAAACCAUAUGUUACAGAAACACAUGAGAAUUAGUUGUUUUUUACUAAUUUUUAUGUUGAAAAUCGAAAAGCGUUUGUAACGCUUUACUCAAGGUAAAAUGCCUCAAUUAUUAAUAGUAUAUUUAACGGGCAUUGAACACUAAAUCCUCCCUAGCGCUAUUGGUAGCGACGGCGGAAAAUUUCUUUAUUGCUGCGGCGGCCCGUGUUCGAUUCUCGACGCGGUCGUCUUUUAUUCUUGAUUUGGCCUUUUUAAAAUAGUUUAGAAACAAAAGCUCAUAUUCUAAUGUUCAUAAUAUAACCAAACUUCAUUAUGAAAGAACAAUAUUUAUUUUAGCCAAACUGAUCUGGAGGCCAGUGCCUUUAAUAAUAGCUUACUAGAUAACUUAUUCACUAGCUAACUUACUAGCUCUGACUGACACUAAAAUGACAUUUAGCUGUGAUUCAGUACUUCAUACACUGCUAGUUAACACAGUUAGUCAAGUGCAUUACAUUUUGUUGUUAAUUUUCUAAAUCUACAGUUAAUAUCUAAAGAUAAAUAGUUCAGUAAAGGAUGAAAAUAGUAUUUCAUUAAAAAAUAAACUUCAACGUUUAUAAUAUCUCUGGCUUGGAAGGUGGCAAAGUUGUAUUUUUAUACAGUGAGUUAAAGACAAGGAAGAAAAAUAAGUACGGCAGUUAAAAUUUCCAUGUAUUAUUUGUUUCUAAAAUUAGAUUGUAUUAUGACAGAUUGUAUUAUGACGGAAGUAUAUUUACUUCGUAUUUACGCAGUAUUAAGUAUACCUGUAUUUGGCAACCAGGUCUAGAAUAGUAAAUAAUUCUGCCGCUACGAAAGGUAAUUAUAAUUAUAGACCACUUUCCUUCAUAAUUAAGAAAGUGUACAUGUAUAGUAUUUUAUAAUUCUAAAUAUGAAUUAAAGACAACAGAAAGUUUGUUUCAAUCUAUAAAACACUCGUGUAGUAACUACAUAAAUUUCUUUGAAAAGUGCAUAUUAUCAAUAUGUAAAACAAAAAACAAAUUUCAGAUACAUGCUCCAUUACCUGUACCCAAACAAUACGUUUCCCCUAUAUAUAGAAUAUUGUUAUCGGCGUCUAUAUUUAGAAAAUCUAUUUACAUUUCUGCCGUACUUCCGGAUAAAAUUGCAUGCCAGCAUGACGAAAUUUUGUUUGUACUUACCUAAUACAUAUGUAAUUUAAAAUUUCAAGAUACUGUUGAUAAAUCAAGACGAGGUAGAUCUACAUAUUUUACUUAUAAUAUGAAUCCAGUUGCAGAUUCUACAGAGAAUUGGAAUUUCUUACAUAUUUUAAAUAACACAGCGCCCAAUGGAACUUUGCAGGUCACAAACCUGACAGAGCAUUCAACAGAAGCUGAUACAGAUGAUGUCCACUUUGUCAUAUUGCGGUUAUUCACGUUCGCAUUAAUUGUUGUGAUCAUGUUCGGUGUAGGUCUUGGGUGUUACCGCCUCAGGAACAAUUGUAAGGAACCGGCCAUUAUUGACGACCUAUGAAUAUCAACUUAUGACCGCAGGAAGCAAGCAGUCCCAAGUCACCGACCCUAAAUGGCGGCACAAAUGCAUGGUUGCUCUUUGAUUUCCACUCUGAUGAGAAUCUAUGAUAGAGAUAUCAUCAUUGCACAUUCUACGUGUCUAUAAAUGACAAGUGGCUUCAAUGUUUUAAUCAACUGUCGUCUUCGUGAAAGCGAAUUAAAAGAACGAAUGGCAGCUAUCAAGUAUGAAUGACAGACUCGUUGUGAGAGAGACCGCAACGAAAUAAAUAAAUAAAUAAACAGAUAAUUAAACAAAUACAUAUGUAUGUAUAUGCACCAAGGGAAAACCCUGCUGGAAAAUAUGCUCAGUUUGCUGAAAUCUCUGCCAAACACCCGCAAAUGAAUAUUUUAGGACGGUUCUUAAAAAACACCGCAUUUUCGUUAUUGAGAAGACACUAAGAAAGUGUUGAAUUCACACCUGAAAGGACGGCAUACUGACCAAAGACAGAGCAAAAUCCUGUUGAUUUGAAAAAUAUUCUUUUUGCUAAGUUAGAUGCAACUUAGUGUCAAGAGAUGUUACUAAAUAUUUACGUUGAAUAAAAGUUGAUUAUUUUUUAAAAAUGAUUUGCGUUUUCUAUGCCGAUAAGUGUACGAAGAUGCUAACUAGUGUACAUGUACCAGUCAGUUGAAGGGAACAAAACCCACUGGCUUCCCACUGAGGACGAAAAACCUUGUCAACAACAAAAGUGAAAGACGAAAAGGGAGCAUAUUUUUGUGAAAAAAAGCUAAAAAGAGUUAUGGAAAUUGAAUAAUGCAUAUCAUAUUCCCACAGUUCCACUGAUAUCAGCUGGCAUACCAAAACAUAACAAAACUUGCUAUGUAGUAAAAGGAUCACUACUUAGAGAAAAGGCAAAUCUUUGCAUUUCAUGCCAGACCGUCACAGUAAAUAAGUGUAUGAAGUUUCAAUUCAUUCCCAAUAGUGGCUUCUGAAACACCAUCUUGCAUGUAAAAUCUUAGUCAAAUACUGCUUAGUCGAAAAAAAAUAUGGCACAACUUCAUAAAAGUUACAGCUGUGCAGUUUAUGUCUAAUCAUCACAGUGAGCACUCAGAUUUACCGAGACAAAAAUCUUAACCAAAACGGGACGCAGACGCAGAUCUAUGCCAACGCUUCCUAUCCUUCGAGUUUAGUUAAAAAAGAAACUAAUUAGUGACUAACAGACAUUCUCCUGACUGUGUAAAGUUGAUAAUAACCAGUGUAUUCGGUGUUUGUAGUCGGUUCUAUUUAUAGCUCGAUGUCCUUGACUUUGGAAUGAUCUAGUCUUAUUUUUGUAUUUAUUUACGUUUUAAAAUCUGCUAUGUAUAGCAUCAUAUGACUUUAACUGUGUCAGCAGAACAGGAAGUAUAUAGUAACUGCCUAUGAAUAAUAGCGGAAUCCCAUCGUUAUUUACUAUAUUUUUAUACCUUUGUAACAAUGUUUACAUUGGUUUAAAAUUUAAUCUCCAAACAAAAGUUAAUUUCGAAGAACAUGAAUAAAUUUCCUACCAGAAUUAGAUAUGAAUUUUAGAAAUAGCCUAACUAUGACUAAUGAAAGUUGCCAAAUUAUUAUGUAGUUGACAAUAAUGAUAGAUAUCCUGUAAUUAUAAACACUGAGAAAAAUAAAAAAAGUUUCUGUUUCCUGAAGUGUUCUAGAUAAUUAUAUAGUGAUUGUGUUUGAAAUCUAUGUAGUUUUAAGAAACAUCUCUGUUGCCAUAUGAUAGGAUAUAUUUUAAAGUUACUGCAAAAGUUGUUUCAGUAUUAUUUCUCAUUAUUCAUAAAUUUGUUUUGGUUUAGAGAUUAUUUUGAUCAUGUGAUUCCCCAAAGUGUAUGCUAUAAUAUAUAGAUUGGAAAACACUACUUUCAUAACAUACAUAAAACAGAUGUAAAACGAAGAAAACUUGUAUUUACUGAAUACUAGUAUUAUAAAUCCGACGAGAAUGUCUGAACUUCACAAGACUGUUAAGGUUUCUUGAAACGGGCUCCAUUUGAACCAAUGCGGGAUGCUUCUUUGAAACACAUCACAUGGAAGACCUGUUUUUUGAUUGCUAUUACCACAUUUCAAAGAUUUAGUGAUAUUCAACAGCUGAAACUGGGAGAACAAUUUCUAAAUGUUCAAAGAAACGGUAUUUCAUUUCUUCGGACUGAAUUAUCAAAAACUGACAGGCCCAGUCAUGUUAAAACACGCAUUUUUGUUCCAAAAUUUACAGGGGAUAAACGACUUGAUCCAAAAAGGGCUUUGACUUAUUAUUUAAGGAAAACAGAACAGUUCAGAUCUGACUCAGAGGCAGAUACAUUGAAAUUGUUUCUUGCAAUAAAUAAACCUCAUCGUCCAGUAUCGACGCAAACAGUUUCGAGAUGGAUAAUCAGCACAAUCAAAUUGUGCUAUGAAUUGUGCAAUAAGUCUUUAGGACAUGUUACUGCACACUCUACCAGAAGUAUUGGUCCUUCAUGGGCUUUGUUUAAAGGGGCUCCCUUGGAGCAAAUCAUGGAGUCCGCUGAUUGGUCCCGCGAGACCACUUUUGUGAAACAUUAUAUUAGACAGUUAAAUCUAGAGGUUUUAAAUGUUUAAAGAAUAAACAUUUCAACAGAUAUGUAUGAGACAGUUUAAAGGGUAAAUUUUGAAUGUUUACAGAAUGAACAUUCAAACUGAUAUAAUAUUGUGGGUUAUAUCUUCCGGCGGGCUGCUGGAAUAUGAAUUUUUCAUAUAUCAAGAAGAUUAUAUAGAUAAGUGUAUAAUGUGUACAUAAUACUAGAGAUUGUACAGGAGGGAUGUUUAUAUUAUAUGGUAUUUAUGUCAGCUUGGAUUAUAGAUCCAACAAUAACACAGAUGAAGACUCAUUUAUGACAUCCAAAAUCACGAUGUUCUCUUUAUAACAAAUAUUGACGGGGGCCAAAAUUCGAAAGUGUACCCUGCUAGCUAAAAACUGAAGAAGGCGUGGAUGUCACGUGAGGGGAAACGGAAAUGGAUCCGGUGUUAGGGUAAUUUUUCCAUUUCCGGUUUACAGCGGGCUAAAUUCCGUGCCGAACGGACAAAUCCUGAUUGUAUAGUGUUAGAGAAUGGACUCUGGAAUUGGCAAUUUGGUCAAUAACAUCGGUAGGCGUAUUGGUACAUACGGAAAAACAGAAGAACGACUACCAAAGGAUUCCAGCGCUGAAGACUGGUUGAUUCCGUUAGCCCUUUUCAUUGGGGCUCUCAUAGUUGUGGUUGUUGUUGUGUGGGUACGUUGGUGUAUUUCCCGCAAUAAAUACAAGAACCUGAAAAACAAUGUCGUUGCUGUCCAUUGGCAACCAGUCUGAAAAAAUUUCAUUGUUAGCAGUUUCUUCUCUUCUCUCUCAGCUGAAGAUGUACGUAGCUUCUAUUUGAAAUCUUGCUUCAAACACGGACCGGAGAAAGGAAACGAAAGAAAUACAAAAACUGCAAAACCAAGUUGCUAUAUAUACUAUCAUGCCAAGAAAACAGUUUUCACUUGCUCAAGACAGUAACGAAUACAACAGACAGUCGUAUGUUAGAGUGUUUGUCUUCUGUUUUUUUAACUAUUUGCAUGUACAAGCAUAUAUAAAUUUAUAGUUCAACGAGUAUGCGACAUAUGACACAAAGUUGUUCACUGACACAAAUACUGAUUACAUGACAGUUAUACAUAUGAACAUAAUUGGAGGUCAAGAGCGAUACUAUUUGAACAACAAAUACGGAACCUAUGCGACGACGCGUGACACGUUCAGUCGAGGUGCGCCACUGUAGGAGGUCAUUGUCUUUUAUGUAAAUGUACACUUUGUAUAAAAAGUAACCAUGUACAGGAAAAAUGUAUAUACUAUAAUAAACAUUGGUAAUAGGAAUAUUGCAUGUAAUUAGUAAUUUCGUAAUAAAAUACAAAGACAUA